RNAcentral lists this transfer RNA (72 nucleotides) under Camelus bactrianus (Bactrian camel). It matches the Rfam family "tRNA". Rfam says of the family: Transfer RNA (tRNA) molecules are approximately 80 nucleotides in length. Their secondary structure includes four short double-helical elements and three loops (D, anti-codon, and T loops). Further hydrogen bonds mediate the characteristic L-shaped molecular structure. tRNAs have two regions of fundamental functional importance: the anti-codon, which is responsible for specific mRNA codon recognition, and the 3' end, to which the tRNAs corresponding amino acid is attached (by aminoacyl-tRNA synthetases). tRNAs cope with the degeneracy of the genetic code in two manners: having more than one tRNA (with a specific anti-codon) for a particular amino acid; and 'wobble' base-pairing, i.e. permitting non-standard base-pairing at the 3rd anti-codon position. RNAcentral also lists the same sequence under 2 other names. The record is from Rfam by way of RNAcentral. Lineage: Eukaryota; Metazoa; Chordata; Mammalia; Artiodactyla; Camelidae.
GAGGGGAUAGCUCAGUGGUAGAGGGCAUGCCUAGCAUGCACGAGGUUCUGGGUUCAAUCCCCAGUACCUCCA